Molecule: ribosomal RNA, 355 nt
Filed under: uncultured bacterium
Lineage: Bacteria
Description: bacterial SSU rRNA
Rfam family: Bacterial small subunit ribosomal RNA
Source: RNAcentral
GAAUUCACUAGUGAUUCAGGCCUAACACAUGCAAGUCGAGCGGUAGAGAGAAGCUUGCUUCUCUUGAGAGCGGCGGACGGGUGAGUAAUGCCUAGGAAUCUGCCUGGUAGUGGGGGAUAACGUUCGGAAACGGACGCUAAUACCGCAUACGUCCUACGGGAGAAAGCAGGGGACCUUCGCGCCUUGCGCUAUCAGAUGAGCCUAGGUCGGAUUAGCUAGUUGGUGAGGUAAUGGCUCACCAAGGCGACGAUCCGUAACUGGUCUGAGAGGAUGAUCAGUCACACUGGAACUGAGACACGGUCCAGACUCCUACGGGAGGCAGCAGUGGGGAAUAUUGGACAAUGGGCGAAAGCCU